GAGAGAGCUUAGUCAGUAACUAGAGUUUUUAUCAUUUCACACGAGAGAUCUUAGUCAGUAACUAGAGUUUUUGUCAUUUCACUCGCAGGUAUUACAUUUCUGCAACAUAAAAUGACUGUUCCAAUGAAAAAAUUUUCAUAUCUAAAAGUCCAUCUUAAACAACCAUGUUAUCCUUCAUCAGGUUACACACCAGAUUGCAAAUAGAUAUUAUUUGGGGUGAACAGAAAUCUAACUUUGAAAUAAGAAUAACA
Molecule: unclassified non-coding RNA, 251 nt
Filed under: Hevea brasiliensis (rubber tree)
Lineage: Eukaryota; Viridiplantae; Streptophyta; Magnoliopsida; Malpighiales; Euphorbiaceae
Source: RNAcentral